This is a long non-coding RNA of Hyaena hyaena (striped hyena), 207 nucleotides long. RefSeq lists it as uncharacterized. NCBI's taxonomy places the organism in Eukaryota, Metazoa, Chordata, Mammalia, Carnivora, Hyaenidae. The transcript is spliced from 3 exons. The record is from RefSeq and is a predicted model, not a curated record.
GGAUACUGAAUUCCUGGCAUCUCCUUGAAACGUUGCACUUGAAUUUAUCUGGAAAUGGAGGAAUGCUUGCGAAAAGUGUUUUAUUGGAACAGAUCCAGGCCAAUUGGUUCACAUAUCAUCUGUGCCUGUUUUCACUACAAUGACAUAGAAGACCAACUGUACAGAGAGAGUAACUCAUAUACAGCAUCUGAUGUUUUCAUCUGAGAC